Molecule: long non-coding RNA, 679 nt
Organism: Lacerta agilis (Sand lizard)
Lineage: Eukaryota; Metazoa; Chordata; Lepidosauria; Squamata; Lacertidae
Exons: 3
Source: RefSeq, a predicted model, not a curated record
UGUUUUGUUUCUUGCAUAUUGAAGAACGUCCAUUUUCAACAAGCCUUUUGAGUCUGUAUCUGUAUUGGAUUUCAAACUGUUUUAUUGUUAAUCACUUCAGGAUGUUUCAUGGGAGGCAACAAACAAACAAACAAACAAACAAACAGGCAGACAGACAUCUCAGGGAGUUUUUGUACAUGAUGUCCAUGUUGUAAUGGAAUCAAAGUGGAGCUCUCUUCUGCCCACUCUUCCCUUAAACAUGUGGGCUGAGAUAAUUUUUCAUCUGGACAUUUCUGUCAGUACUUAUUUUAUAUGGCUAACAUUUGCUUUACUGCCUUCUAGAUUUAUCCAUUCUGAAAAGUUCCGGUGGAUGAAUGGAAGCUGCUGAAUGGAAUUAGUCAGCCAUCCACCUUCAGAGAUGGCUGAUCUAAGCAAGAGCAAGCUAAGAAUAGUGCCUCUCAUAACUGGUGGUAUUUUUCUACUCCCCAUUACAUUCACUAACCUUGCACAGUAAUCUCAUCUGCAUCAGGACUUCUAGGAGUGCAGCUGUGCUGGUCUUCAACACCCUUGCCGGCAGCAGAAAGCAUAAACGAGGCCUGAAGAGCUUCUUUAAAGCCAACCCUGCGUACAACAUUAUGUAAGUAAACGAUCUUGUAGCACGGGCGUUGGGUUCCUCCACGGCAAAUGGCAUGUCCUGAGG